Molecule: long non-coding RNA, 1132 nt
Filed under: Equus asinus (donkey)
Lineage: Eukaryota; Metazoa; Chordata; Mammalia; Perissodactyla; Equidae
Description: lncRNA (ENSEASG00005033892.1)
Source: RNAcentral
CUCGGAGCUGUCCGGCGUGGCUCCCUCUUCCAGGAUGGGUCCCAUUGAGCGAAGAUGAAAGGGGGUGGGAGAAAUGGGGGCGGGGAGGGGCGCUUGCUUUCCUCGUCCUCCUGCUCACACCGGCUGUUCCCUCAAGGCAAAAGGUCCCUAAUGACUUCCUUGAUUUUCUUGAUAAAACAGGACUUUUAUCCUAGAAGGAUGAGAAUCAGGCGAGGAGAUGCCAAACUUACUGCUCUAUGAUUUCAGAAACAGAGUGUCUCAGGUCUACGUGAGGACAGAGGGCAGAUAGCAUGAUCCUAAUAUCUCCCUGGCAUGCUUUCUUCCAGGUAUUGGUUCGUCCUUACCAUACUAAAACAUUCAUGAGCCGACCCUGUGAUGGGGACACCGCCAGGGCAGACACAGCCCGUUUGCAUGGUAUGGAGCUCACGGUUCAGUGGGGGACAUAGACGCAUCACCAGCAAUUGCAGAUUUAAACAAUAGGAUACCUCUACACACCUAUUAGAAUGUCUAAAAUCCCAAACAAUGAAAUAGCAACUGCUGGUGAGGAUGUGGAGCAACAGGAACUCUCAUUCAUUGCUAGUGGGAAUGCAAAAUGGUACAGCCACUUUGGAAGACAAUCUGAAAAGGCAACUACACGGCAUCCUGGAAAAGGCAAAACUGUAGAGAUCAGUAAAAAGGUGUGUGUCUAGCUCCAUGAUGAAGAAUGCCAGCUUCUCCUGUGGAUGCUCAUACCAUCAAGGUGAGGUGUGAUCCAGCGGCUCAAACACUGGAAAGCAGUUAUUAUGGGCAAAGGCUCUGCAGUGUGACUGAUUGGAGUUGAAUCCUGACUCUACCACUCACAGGCUGGAUAAUCUUGGAAUGUGAAAUCCAUGAGGGUAGCAUUUUGUCCUCACAACAACAGAUGCACAAUAAAAAUUUGCUAAUUGAAAGAAGAAGUGAAGGAACAACUCGCAGCCCUGUCUGAUGGUUGGCAACACUUGGCACUCCGGACAUUGAGGAACCACUGUCCCAUCAGGCCCAAAUGGAGACUUUGAGCCAUGUGAGUAAUGCUGUUGUAUAUAUUUGGUGGUUUGUUCACGAAUUGGAGAGCAGGUUACCAAGAUAACUUGUCCGUUACGAGUACCAACCUGAC